Molecule: ribosomal RNA, 500 nt
Filed under: uncultured bacterium
Lineage: Bacteria
Description: bacterial SSU rRNA
Rfam family: Bacterial small subunit ribosomal RNA
Source: RNAcentral
AGGACGAACGCUGGCGGCGUGCUUAACACAUGCAAGUCGAACGGGGUCUAUUAGCUUGCUAAGACGACCUAGUGGCAAACGGGUGAGUAACGCGUGGGCAACCUGCCGGAAAGAUGGGGACAACAUCCCGAAAGGGGUGCUAAUACCGAAUGUUGUACGAGGGACGCAUGUUCCAUGUACUAAAGGAUCCUAUCCGCUUUCCGAUGGGCCCGCGUCCGAUUAGCUGGUUGGUGAGAUAACGGCCCACCAAGGCGACGAUCGGUAGCCGGCCUGAGAGGGUGAACGGCCACAUUGGGACUGAGACACGGCCCAGACUCCCACGGGAGGCAGCAGUGGGGAAUCUUCCGCAAUGGGCGAAAGCCUGACGGAGCAACGCCCGCGUGAGUGAAGGAGGCCUUCGGGCCGUAAAGCUCUGUUGCCGGGGAAGAGUGCUAUGGGGGAACCUGUAGAGGGACGGUACCCGGCGAGGAAGCCGCGGCUAACUACGUGCCAGCCGCCGC